UCUGGAGUUCACUUUUUUGUUGCCUUAACCCUAUUGGCAAAGACUUGGCUAUAGAGUACUAAUUGUGAUGCAAGCAAGUUCUUUUGCCAAUGGCAACCAGCAGAGCUUCCCCUGAAGAUUGGAGGGGAUGAGUCAGGGGCAAGGAAGGAUUAACAGAUUCUGCCUCAAGUCCUGGUGAACCAACUCCUCUCCCCAAGACAGACACAUACUAGUGAAAUAAAUUGGAUUUAAAUCAUCACCUGAGGCAAUCCUGAAAGAGAAAAGCAGUCCUAGAAAAGAGUGGAGGAAAAGAGGACAGCCCCAUUCUCUUUGUGACCACGAAGACUGCCGCCAUGUGGUUGGGAGCCACGUAACUUCUUUUAGUGCCAGCUGAGAUUCUUCUGCCCUGGAACUAGUUCCUCCGAGUUAUUGCCAGGCCUGGAGAUUGAAUUCCUGCAGCUGGAAGGUGGGGAAAGUUGCCAGAGCGAAGGAAGUAAAAGCAUCCACUAUGAGAUUCACCAGAGGGGUUUGACCAGCUUUAGAAGGAGAAU
Molecule: long non-coding RNA, 530 nt
Filed under: Homo sapiens (human)
Lineage: Eukaryota; Metazoa; Chordata; Mammalia; Primates; Hominidae
Description: HSALNT0345509
Source: RNAcentral